Molecule: ribosomal RNA, 667 nt
Filed under: uncultured bacterium
Lineage: Bacteria
Description: bacterial SSU rRNA
Rfam family: Bacterial small subunit ribosomal RNA
Source: RNAcentral
AAGUCGAACGCGAAGUGGAGCAAUCCAUGAGUAGAGUGGCAAACGGGUGAGUAACGCGUGGGCGACCUACCUCAGAGUGGGGGAUAACCUUCCGAAAGGAGGGCUAAUACCGCAUGACAUACCGUGUUUGGAUACACGGAUAUCAAAGCCGGGGAUCGCAAGACCUGGCGCUUGGAGAGGGGCCCGCGUCCGAUUAGCUAGUUGGUGAGGUAACGGCUCACCAAGGCUCCGAUCGGUAUCCGGCCUGAGAGGGCGGACGGACACACUGGAACUGAGACACGGUCCAGACUCCUACGGGAGGCAGCAGUGGGGAAUUGUUCGCAAUGGGCGCAAGCCUGACGACGCAACGCCGCGUGGAGGAUGAAGACUUUCGGGUCGUAAACUCCUUUCGACCGAGAUGAAUUUCCCACGACCUAACACGUCGUGGGAGUGACAGUAUCGAGGGAAGAAGCCCCGGCUAACUCCGUGCCAGCAGCCGCGGUAAUACGGGGGGGGCAAGCGUUGUUCGGAAUUACUGGGCGUAAAGGGUUUGUAGGUGGCUUGUUAAGUCAGACGUGAAAUCCCUCAGCUUAACUGGGGAACUGCGUCUGAUACUGGUGAGCUUGAGUGCAGGAGAGGAACGCGGAAUUCCAGGUGUAGCGGUGAAAUGCGUAGAUAUCUGGAGGAA